RNAcentral lists this transfer RNA (72 nucleotides) under Myotis davidii. It matches the Rfam family "tRNA". Rfam says of the family: Transfer RNA (tRNA) molecules are approximately 80 nucleotides in length. Their secondary structure includes four short double-helical elements and three loops (D, anti-codon, and T loops). The record is from Rfam by way of RNAcentral. Lineage: Eukaryota; Metazoa; Chordata; Mammalia; Chiroptera; Vespertilionidae.
GCCUUUUUGGCUCAGUGGAUAGAGCUUAGGACUACGGCCUGAAGGGUCCGGGUUUGAUUCCCGUCAAGGGCA